RNAcentral lists this transfer RNA (71 nucleotides) under Ovis aries (sheep). It matches the Rfam family "tRNA". From Rfam's summary of the family: Transfer RNA (tRNA) molecules are approximately 80 nucleotides in length. Their secondary structure includes four short double-helical elements and three loops (D, anti-codon, and T loops). The record is from Rfam by way of RNAcentral. Lineage: Eukaryota; Metazoa; Chordata; Mammalia; Artiodactyla; Bovidae.
UCCCUGGUGGCUCAGUGGUAAAGAAUCCACCUGCAGUGCAGAAGACAUGGGUUCGAUCCCUAUGUAGGGAA